Long non-coding RNA from Hibiscus syriacus, 1229 nucleotides. RefSeq lists it as uncharacterized. The record is from RefSeq and is a predicted model, not a curated record. The transcript is spliced from 5 exons. Lineage: Eukaryota; Viridiplantae; Streptophyta; Magnoliopsida; Malvales; Malvaceae.
UCUAGCUUUGUUAACUUCUGUACUCUGUAAUUCUUGGGUCAACCUCGUAGCUUGUUGAGUAAUAGUUUCCCUUUCGAUCAUCUUUGGGUCGAAUAUCGCCUGAUUUCUUCUUUUCCAAAUAAACUAGAUUACAGAACUGAAGAAAGAUGGCCAGUUUUCAAUUGAUGGUGAUAGGGAUUGGGUUGUUUCUAGAUUUUCGGUGAUCCACUCCUUGAUGUUGAUACUCAGGAACUUAUCCAAAUUCUGGGUAUCAAUCAAUUCUGCCCACAUCAGUAAUGUUCUCGGGCAGUAUCUCAGCAAAUGGUUUAAAUAUUCUGUUUCAUAGUUUACAUAGGGCAACUUGCAUCUGUCGUCAUGUGCCUGCGCACUCUUUCCAGAUUGGUUAGUAUUCUAUCUUUCCCAAUGAGCCAUAGAAACGCUUUAAUCCUGCGAAUAUUGUUAUGCUUUGCAAUGAUACUCCAAAUAUUUUCUUCUGUUGAAAUGUUAUUUGCUAUCACUUUAUACGUCGAUUUGACUGAGAAAACUCUUUUCUCCGAGGGAGUCCAACCUGGUGAGUCAGCAAGGAAUUCUUCCACAGGAGGAGGGGUAGCUUUCAAUUUAUUUAUGAUUCGAUCCGGGAGUAGUCUUGUGAGCUUAUUCCAGUCCCAGGAAUUGCAUUGAGGACUAAUUUAGCAAGUAUAAUUCUUCCCGCUAAUGAUAAAGUUUUAGCCUUUCAACCUGCAAGUCUAUCUUUUACUCUUUGGAUGAUGCUGUUGUAAGUUCUUUUGUUGAUCCUGUUAUGGAGCAGAGGAACUCCCAGAUAAUUCCCAAGGUUCACUUUUUGACCCGAGCUGCUACAGAAUUUAUGAAGAGUGUUCUGAUUGAUUUCAAUUUGAGAAAUAUCGGCUUCCGCAAAAAAAUAAGGUCGUCUGCAAAAAAGAGAUGACAAAGAGGUACGGAGAUAAUGGACUACCCUGUCUGAUUCCCCUAGUCGGUUUAAAAUGCUAGGGUUGGAUUUGACAUCACCAUGACUGAUCAAGAUGACGAUUAUUUGUUAUCAUAUUGAUCUUCUCUGCUUUGGACCAUCAUAUUGAUUUGGAUAUGCGUUUUGCGUUCGUGAAUAGUUUUUCCAUGUCGCUUGACUUUGAUUUGCGAUUUGUUGGUGGUUUUUAAAUAGUUUCAUCCCCUUCUGUGGUUCGUUUGUCGAUACAGUCAGAUUUGUUCGUAUCUUUAUUUUUCGAGCAUUUUGG